Molecule: long non-coding RNA, 414 nt
Organism: Thunnus maccoyii (southern bluefin tuna)
Lineage: Eukaryota; Metazoa; Chordata; Actinopteri; Scombriformes; Scombridae
Exons: 3
Source: RefSeq, a predicted model, not a curated record
CACAGGUAUUGAUCUGGAUGAGCACAGCCCUCUGAUUGCAAGGCCUGUCUGGAUGUAAGCACAAAGGGAUUCUUCUAACAGGUGGCUGUAAAAAACAAGAUCUGGAUUACAUAUUGCACUUUAGGGAACAGUCUGGGAGUUGAAGUUGGCGAGGUGUGUAGUGCCAUGGGGAUGGGAGAGAGGAUUAUUCUUUCCAAAAUUUGCAAGUCUGCCUAACUUAAAUGGCUGCGUCACCUGCAGUGAUGAUGGUCAUGGCUGCCCCUCAAGCUCCAACCCGAUUAAGAUGACGGAGGAUCGACAGAGCAGAACUCCAUUUUGUCUUUGGCCACCAAGAAGCAACAUUACCCUAUCAUUUCUUUUCCUUUUCUUUACAACCUCCUUUCUGCUGCUGUUAAUAAAUCCAAUUUUCAAGAU